GGCGGACGGGUGAGUAACGCGUGAGGAACCUGCCUUUCAGAGGGGGACAACAGUUGGAAACGACUGCUAAUACCGCAUGACACAUAGAGAUCGCAUGGUUUUUAUGUCAAAGAUUUAUCGCUGAAAGAUGGCCUCGCGUCUGAUUAGCUAGUUGGUGAGGUAACGGCCCACCAAGGCGACGAUCAGUAGCCGGACUGAGAGGUUGACCGGCCACAUUGGGACUGAGAUACGGCCCAGACUCCUACGGGAGGCAGCAGUGGGGAAUAUUGGGCAAUGGGCGCAAGCCUGACCCAGCAACGCCGCGUGAAGGAAGAAGG
Molecule: ribosomal RNA, 317 nt
Filed under: uncultured bacterium
Lineage: Bacteria
Description: bacterial SSU rRNA
Rfam family: Bacterial small subunit ribosomal RNA
Source: RNAcentral